RNAcentral lists this ribosomal RNA (501 nucleotides) under uncultured bacterium. RNAcentral describes it as "bacterial SSU rRNA". It matches the Rfam family "Bacterial small subunit ribosomal RNA", at positions 28 to 507 of the family's 1533-position model. The record is from RNAcentral.
GACGAACGCUGGCGGCGUGCCUAAUACAUGCAAGUCGAGCGGAAUGAUGAAGAAGCUUGCUUCUUCUGAUUUUAGCGGCGGACGGGUGAGUAACACGUGGGCAACCUACCUUGUAGAUUGGGAUAACUCCGGGAAAACCGGGGCUAAUACCGAAUAAUCCAUUUUGCUUCAUGGCGAGAUGUUGAAAGACGGUUUCGGCUGUCACUAUAAGAUGGGCCCGCGGCGCAUUAGCUAGUUGGUAGGGUAAUGGCCUACCAAGGCGACGAUGCGUAGCCGACCUGAGAGGGUGAUCGGCCACACUGGGACUGAGACACGGCCCAGACUCCUACGGGAGGCAGCAGUAGGGAAUCUUCCACAAUGGACGAAAGUCUGAUGGAGCAACGCCGCGUGAGUGAAGAAGGUUUUCGGAUCGUAAAACUCUGUUGUAAGGGAAGAACACGUACGAGAGUAACUGCUCGUACCUUGACGGUACCUUAUUAGAAAGCCACGGCUAACUACGUG